CUCCCUCCUUCCCAGUGGGAAUUAUUCUAUAUGUAGUUGUAGAUUUGGUGUGUCUGUCGGAGGAAGUAAGUUCAGAGGCUUUUUAUACCACCAUCUUGGACCACUCUUUUUGUAAUAUAUCGUAAGGAAUCUGAAGAUUUUUUUCACCUUGAGCAAUUUGAGUAAAUGUGAUUUUGUGAGGGUUUUUGGCAGGGGGGGUUUGCAAUGGUCUCAAGGAUAAUCUGACUUUCUCAUUUACCCUCUUACAAUAAAAUUACAGGCAUUUCGAGAGAUGAGAUAGGCGGGCCGCUCAGAAACAUUAUCCCAUCCAUCAGGAAGAGAACCCAAAUUAAGGAUUCCAAAGAUUCCAAAAAGGCAACAGUAUGGAAAAGGAGUCUGUGCUACAGAGGUGAUCUGAAUCCAGGAAAAAAUGGAAGAUGUCUAUAAUAAAAAAACUAGCAAUUUUAUGGCAGCAUUUGAAAAUUUUACCCUUUACAAGAUGAACAUGAAAAGCCACCUCCAAGGUACAGCCAAAUACAAAAUGACUUUACCAUUUACUCUCAAAGCCUAUGCCAUUGAACAGCUUUUACUGAUGGUCUGUGUGGUCCGUGUGCUUGUUUGACCCAUCAGGGUUUCUUAGAAACAUGAGAUGGACUGCAGAGCUUCAACAUUUUGACUCCCCAACUGUGUGAUCUUAGGCAUGUUACUUAACCUCUCUGUCCCAUCUAUAAAAUGGGGUUGAUAAUCGUACCUGAUUUACAGCGUUGAUAUAUGGGUUAAGUGAAUUGGUAUUUGUAAAGUGUUGAGAACGGUCCC
Molecule: long non-coding RNA, 795 nt
Filed under: Suricata suricatta (meerkat)
Lineage: Eukaryota; Metazoa; Chordata; Mammalia; Carnivora; Herpestidae
Description: lncRNA (ENSSSUG00005019323.1)
Source: RNAcentral